This is a non-coding RNA of Microcebus murinus (gray mouse lemur), 246 nucleotides long. The record is from RefSeq and is a predicted model, not a curated record. NCBI's taxonomy places the organism in Eukaryota, Metazoa, Chordata, Mammalia, Primates, Cheirogaleidae.
UGAUCCCGCAGAGUAGAUACCAUGAGCAAUGCUCACCCUCCCGAGUUGAAAAAAUUUAUGGACAAGAAGUUAUCAUUGAAAUUAAAUGGUGGCAGAUAUGCCCAAGGAAUAUUGGAGGGAUUUGAUCCAUUUAUGGGUCUUGUGAUAGAUGAAUGUGUGGAGAUGACAACUAGUGGGCAACAGAACAAUAUUGGAAUGGUGUUAAUGCAAGGAAAUAGUAUCGUCAUGUUAGAAGCCUUGGAAUGA